RNAcentral lists this ribosomal RNA (496 nucleotides) under uncultured bacterium. RNAcentral describes it as "partial 16S ribosomal RNA". It matches the Rfam family "Bacterial small subunit ribosomal RNA", at positions 28 to 506 of the family's 1533-position model. The record is from RNAcentral.
GAUGAACGCUGGCGGCGUGCCUAAUACAUGCAAGUCGAGCGAACAGACGAGGAGCUUGCUCCUCUGACGUUAGCGGCGGACGGGUGAGUAACACGUGGAUAACCUACCUAUAAGACUGGGAUAACUUCGGGAAACCGGAGCUAAUACCGGAUAAUAUAUUGAACCGCAUGGUUCAAUAGUGAAAGACGGUUUUGCUGUCACUUAUAGAUGGAUCCGCGCCGCAUUAGCUAGUUGGUAAGGUAACGGCUUACCAAGGCAACGAUGCGUAGCCGACCUGAGAGGGGGAUCGGCCACACUGGAACUGAGACACGGCCCAGACUCCUACGGGAGGCAGCAGUAGGGAAUCUUCCGCAAGGGGCGAAAGCCUGACGGAGCAACGCCGGGGGGGUGAUGAAGGUCUUCGGAUCGUAAAACUCUGUUAUUAGGGAAGAAAAAAUGUUUAAGUAACUAUGCACGUCUUGACGGUACCAAAUCAAAAAGCCCCGGCUAAAUACGU